ACGAACGCUGGCGGCGUGCUUCACACAUGCAAGUCGCACGGAAAGGCCCUGCUUUUGUGGGGUGCUCGAGUGGCGAACGGGUGAGUAACACGUGAGUAACCUGCCCUUGACUUUGGGAUGACUUCAGGAAACUGGGGCUAAUACCGGAUAGGAGCUCCUGCUGCAUGGUGGGGGUUGGAAAGUUUCGGCGGUUGGGGAUGGACUCGCGGCUUAUCAGCUUGUUGGUGGGGUAGUGGCUUACCAAGGCUUUGACGGGUAGCCGGCCUGAGAGGGUGACCGGCCACAUUGGGACUGAGAUACGGCCCAGACUCCUACGGGAGGCAGCAGUGGGGAAUAUUGCACAAUGGGCGGAAGCCUGAUGCAGCAACGCCGCGUGCGGGAUGACGGCCUUCGGGUUGUAAACCGCUUUCGCCUGUGACGAAGCGUGAGUGACGGUAAUGGGUAAAGAAGCACCGGCUAACUACGUG
This 467-nucleotide ribosomal RNA is filed under the name uncultured bacterium. RNAcentral describes it as "partial 16S ribosomal RNA". It matches the Rfam family "Bacterial small subunit ribosomal RNA", at positions 29 to 507 of the family's 1533-position model. The record is from RNAcentral.